ACAUCCCCACCUUCCAGGUGAGGAAACCGAGGCACCGAGAGCUGGGGGCCAGGCCAGGGGGUCUCCCUGGGGGGAGCAGAGGAGUGUCGGACCUCAGAAGAGGCUCUGGGGGUCUGAGCCGCCACCGGGCGCUGCCUUCCAGGUUCAGCAGGGACAGAGCUCAGGGGGAAGGCACCUCCCGUCCUGGUUCAAUACAUGGACCCCUGACCCUGGGAAAGGGACUGAGCCAGGGGAGGCCUCAGGUCACUGCACCAUGAAGUUGUGGGGAGCUGCGGGGGCCUCUGGGCUCCGAGCUGGGCAGGCACAGCGUGGGGACCACGUGCCGAGGGGAAGAAGCGUGCCAGGGUGGACGUCUCAGUGCACACGCAGGAACAUGCAACGGCUGAGCCAGCCCAGAGAGGCAGCGGAGCGUGUGCGGGGCGGCCGGCGGAGGAGCAGCAGGAUCCCAGGCGGGAGCGCACGGCCUUUUCGGAGGCAGGUUCCAGGACAAUACUAAGCGUUUACAUCAUUGCACUAUUUGAUCCAGGAGGUCCCACUGUGGCGUUUCAUCGAUAAACGCACAUGCGAGGUGGAGGGUGGCUGGUGUGGAAUGUGCCCGGCAGCCUUCAUAGCAAAGGAGAAUUCUAGAACCAACCGAAGUGCCCCUCUGAAGGGAGCUGGUCCCGUCCGUUCCAGCCGCCGUGGAGUAACACAGCCAGCAGUUUCCCUCCUGCCACGAAAGCUCGAGACUGAAACUCAGGAUGAACUGUUUUCAGCCCGGGUCACCCCAGCCCUGGGGUGGAGGCCCAUUGAGGAUGGCCGAGCAGGGGCGGGCAUCCAGGCAGGUCCAGCAGUCCUGGCGGGCUGAGGAGAAGGAGGUCAGUGCUCAGGGAGACAUCCGCAGAGGGACCUGGCAGGCAGAGCUCCAGAAGGGAGGGAACUGCACAGACAGAAAGCUCCAGAAGGCUGCCUGAGGGCCUCUGAGGCCUCCGGAGUCAGGCGCCAUGGAUGUGGAAGGUGGACUCUUCAGCAUGGAUGGGACCCUAGGGGGCUGUGGACCCCCGGCCCCUGGGACUCACAGGUGGGAGACAGGAGUUCCAACCGCCAGGGGGAGAGUCCUGGAGGAUCCUGGGCUGUUGGCAGCCACCCAGCAGGGCCCGUCCUGGGAGUGGGGCUGGACUCUUCCUGCAGGAAAGGCUGGGCUGGACCUGCUCUGAGAGGCUUCAGAACCAGCCACACGAAGACCAAAGUGAAGAGCAAGGAGCUGAACUCCACGCAGAACACAGCGCAGCGUCCUUUAAAGGAAGGCCAAAAACAACCCAACAAAAAUGCCAGGUGAUCAAAGCGGUCACAGCACAAUGUCCACAUCCAACGAGAAAUUGCUACUACGUCCAGACGCAGGGAAAGGUGGCCGUGGGAACGUGAGUCAGCAGCAACAGGCCCAGAAGGGCAGCCACGGUGGACUUGUCAGACGUGGACCCUGAAAUGACAAUCACAGCAUGAUUUCAGGCAGGAGCCUGAAAUGGUACAGCUUUGGACAUCGGUUUGGCAAAUUCUUUUAGAGAGAAACACACACCUUCCCUAGGACCCAGCAACUCCACUCCUAAUAACCAAGUGAAAUGGAAGGAGUUGUCCUCAGCAAAACGUGUGUGCGGAAGUUCACAGUCACUUUCUCGGUGAUAACCAAGAGCUGGAAACCACUGCAACACCCACCAGCAGGUGAACGGAUUAACACACUGGGCUAGGGCCACACAAUGAGAUGCUCCGUGGCAACACAAAAUGAACCGUGGACACACACUGCACGGCGGAUGAAUAUGCAGACAUCAGGCCACGUGAAGGGAGCCAGGCCCCGAGGCGCCACGCUUUGUGAUUCAGGGUGGUCCCUCUGCGCCCAAGACCCGGCUGCCUCCUCCUCUUCCUGGCUGCAGGGAGUGCUUGUGUCUGAAGAACGCCAGGCUGGUGUCCCCAGAGGGCGGCUGGAGGGGCUCAGAAACCAUUUUCACCUUCUGUCUCCUCCAUGUCUGCACUGUUUGGGAAAGAAAGCACGCAGCCAAAGAGCGCAAAGAGGCUCAGAGGAGGCCCGGGUGCCCUGGAGAGACGCUGCGUCCUGACGACACAGCAUCCCUGUCCCGCAGCGGAGAUUUCCCAGAUGAAGGAUUCCCCGGCGGGAGACAGGGCCCUGCACACAGGUCCUCUGCCACGCUGCUCACCAUGCCUGUGUGUUAUCUCCCCAUGAAAAGUCACCUAGGCCGAGCAUGGUGGCUCACGCCUGUAAUCCCAGCACUUUGGGAGGUGGAGGCGUGCGGAUCAUCUGAGAUCAGGAGUUUGAGACCAUCCUGAGUAACAUGGUGAAACCCCGUCUCUAGGAAGAAUACAAAAAUUAACUGGG
Molecule: long non-coding RNA, 2368 nt
Filed under: Homo sapiens (human)
Lineage: Eukaryota; Metazoa; Chordata; Mammalia; Primates; Hominidae
Description: non-protein coding TNFRSF14-AS1:25
Source: RNAcentral